Molecule: ribosomal RNA, 254 nt
Filed under: uncultured bacterium
Lineage: Bacteria
Description: partial 16S ribosomal RNA
Rfam family: Bacterial small subunit ribosomal RNA
Source: RNAcentral
UACAGAGGGGGCAAGCGUUGUUCGGAAUUACUGGGCGUAGAGGGCUCGUAGGCGGCCAACUAAGUCCGACGUGAAAUCCCAAGGCUUAACCUUGGAACUGCGUCGGAUACUGGAUGGCUUGAAUUCGGGAGAGGGAUGCAGAAUUCCAGGUGUAGCGGUGAAAUGCGUAGAUAUCUGGAGGAAUACCGGUGGCGAAGGCGGCAUCCUGGACCGACAUUGACGCUGAGUGAGCGAAAGCUAGGGGAGCAAACGGG